Molecule: ribosomal RNA, 395 nt
Filed under: uncultured bacterium
Lineage: Bacteria
Description: bacterial SSU rRNA
Rfam family: Bacterial small subunit ribosomal RNA
Source: RNAcentral
GUGUCAGCAGCCGCGGUAAUACGUAGGGGGCAAGCGUUGUCCGGAUUUACUGGGCGUAAAGCGCGCGUAGGCGGAACGUUAAGUCCGGUCUGAAAGCCCCCGGCUCAACCGGGGAGGGUGGCUGGAAACUGGCGUUCUUGAGGGCGAGAGAGGAGGGUGGAAUUCCUGGUGUAGCGGUGAAAUGCGUAGAGAUCAGGAGGAACACCCGUGGCGAAGGCGGCCCUCUGGCUCGACCCUGACGCUGAGGCGCGAAAGCGUGGGGAGCGAACGGGAUUAGAUACCCCGGUAGUCCACGCCGUAAACGAUGGUCACUAGGUGUGUGCGGUAUCGACCCCGCACGUGCCGGCGCCAACGCAAUAAGUGACCCGCCUGGGGAGUACGGCCGCAAGGUUGAA